Molecule: long non-coding RNA, 1500 nt
Filed under: Nicotiana tabacum (common tobacco)
Lineage: Eukaryota; Viridiplantae; Streptophyta; Magnoliopsida; Solanales; Solanaceae
Description: long non-coding RNA (NTAB_LNC004593)
Source: RNAcentral
AAGAAAUUGAUGUUUGGGAAAUUUUUAAGGGAAAGAAAAUUAGGAGGAAUAAAAUGUAGAGAUAAGUAAGCUACAGAUUAAAACAGUGGAGUGUAGUUGAGAGACCAACAUAGCCCUAUCAUAAGUAAGGUUUCUAGUAAGACCAUCAAGGCUACGUUUCAACUCUUACGGCUUACCAAGUUACUCUCUCGGUUAGAGACUCCGAUUGGUAGUAUAGAUAAAUGUAUCAGUGAUCCACUACUUUUCAUGUCACACUAAAAAUUCCAGCCCAACCAGAGCUGGACAAUGCAAGAUGGUUUUACAUGUUCAGGUAACAACACUAUAAAACCAAAAGUCAGAGUUAGACAAGGAGAUUAAGAUUCAUUGUACCUUGACAAUCACAUGGCAGUCCAUGGGACCUGUAACAGCUCUUAUAUCCUAAAGUUGAAUCAGGUUAUUUAGGCACCAACAAAGAAAAACAAGUAGGCUGUUGUGUCAAUCAAACAGGUAAUCAUACAUCAAGAAUUGAAUCAACAUUUGAAGGGGCAGAAACAUCACUACAAAUAGCUGCAAUCAGCAUCCAUUUUCCCAAAGAAAUCCAGCACGGGCAGGUUCAUGGCCAUUUUCACCACCUAAAUUAGAAAAUUUUCAAGACAACGUUAAACUGGACUUUGGUUAGAACCAGAUUCCAAGGUUAUGUGCCAAAUUUAGGUUAGAGAUUCCUGAGCAACUGUUUAGUCACGCAUAUUCCUGAAUAAUUAUUCAUAAGAAUUCCUGGACUCCUUAAAGGCUUAUUUAGUUAUAAGUGGAAUCACUAGCAGAAACUUCACUCAUGUGAGGCGAGAAAGGAAUGCACAAAGGGCACUGGGCAACUCAUGAAAAUGCAAUUUCUAAUUUUGCCAUUAUACAAAUUAGAAUAAUAUGUGAAGCUCCAUGAGAAUAUUAAUUUAGCGACACUCCUGUUCUAGAAUUGAAAUAGAGACAUCAGGUAUAAUCCAAGUUGACCUGAUAUGACUGCAAUUUUGUUCAAAUUUGCAUCUGAAAUAUAAAAUAUCAUCACACAAGACAACCUUAACAUGUCUUAGGGUAUACAGGAGAAAAUGUUACAGUGGAUUUCGGAAAACUACCAUCUUAGUAAGGCAACAGGAUAAAUAAAAACAGCGAACAAAUUGACAACCUAAAACAAAUAAUAUAAGUGCUUCCUCUGUAAUAGAUUAAGUUUUUAUCACACAAUUCAACACGCAUUGAUAUCAAGAUAGGCAGACGUCCUAAGUCCAACUCUCAAACCCAUCAACAGAAAUGUUUCCACAUGAUUGAUUCAAGAAAAAUAAUUAGACCACAUAUGAGAGGAUGUGUUUACGACCUAAAAUAAAUAAAUAAAUGUCUCUCUUCUUUAAUAGUUAAACUUUGAAAUGAGAUGAUCACACAAUUCAUAAAAGGAAAUCCCUAAAAAUGGAUCACCUCAGGAAAACGAGCUGGAUAUGGCAACCCGCGACAAAACUUGGCAGAACUCUGUCAAUG